GUUCAGGGGUGGGUCUGACGUCCCUGAGUGUAUGCGGUGAACCUGAAUUUGCCUUGGGUUUCCUCAUACUCAUUCAGGAGUGUCAGUUCCCCCUUCACU
This is a microRNA precursor of Loxodonta africana (African savanna elephant), 99 nucleotides long. NCBI's taxonomy places the organism in Eukaryota, Metazoa, Chordata, Mammalia, Proboscidea, Elephantidae. The record is from Ensembl.